Molecule: ribosomal RNA, 252 nt
Filed under: uncultured bacterium
Lineage: Bacteria
Description: partial 16S ribosomal RNA
Rfam family: Bacterial small subunit ribosomal RNA
Source: RNAcentral
UACGUAGGUGGCAAGCGUUGUCCGGAAUUAUUGGGCGUAAAGCGCGCGCAGGCGGUCCUUUAAGUCUGAUGUGAAAGCCCACGGCUCAACCGUGGAGGUCAUUGGAAACUGGGGGACUUGAGUGCAGGAGAGGUAAGUGGAAUUCCUGGUGUAGCGGUGAAAUGCGCAGAUAUCAGGAGGAACACCAAUGGCGAAGGCAGAUCUCUGGGCCGUAACUGACGCUGAGGAGCGAAAGCAUGGGGAGCGAACAGG